Molecule: long non-coding RNA, 319 nt
Filed under: Ananas comosus (pineapple)
Lineage: Eukaryota; Viridiplantae; Streptophyta; Magnoliopsida; Poales; Bromeliaceae
Description: long non-coding RNA (ACOM_LNC029104)
Source: RNAcentral
GGAAGCACACAAGUGUACUGUAAGGUACCGGACUUCUAAAAACAAUGAAGUUACGGUGUACAUUUAAGUAAUUCCGGUGAGGUUGCGCUGGAAUGUAAUAUACCGGAUUUUAAAUGUAAAAGUGGAAAUAAAUAAAAAUAGUGUGGGAUACUAUUUUUAUUGGACUUAUAGACAUAAAUUAUAAGUCUAGAGUGACCCGUGUUGAAAUGGAAGCGAAAACAGAAGAUUUAGAAUUUUCUGUGAGAGACGGGGCAGACGAAAAAUAUCCGUACCGUGCUGCUAAACUGAAUGUGAAUAGUGUUCUUGGAUAACUUGGAGG